RNAcentral lists this long non-coding RNA (1135 nucleotides) under Homo sapiens (human). RNAcentral's name for it is "HSALNT0375042". The record is from RNAcentral. Lineage: Eukaryota; Metazoa; Chordata; Mammalia; Primates; Hominidae.
AGGCUGCAGUGAAUUCUACAAAGAGGCUAUGGGAAAGAAACCUGGAAAGGUAGGGAGUACCCUUGGCUGUGUACAUUUGAGUAAAGAGAGCACUAUAAAAUCAAAAACCAAUGAAAUGGUUUCCAGAACACAGAACUAUUAAGCUUAAGAAAAGGACAGAAGGAACUGAAGAGAGAGGAACUGUUUUGGAGCAUCACACUUCCACCUCAGAAGAAAUAAGGAAGGAAGGAGGAGGGUGUUCCCACGGCUCUUCAACCAGGCCGGCUCUUCAGCCUACAUCCCCAUCUCAUCAAGUAAAAGGGAUUUUUCAACUGGACCAACCAGAUGGUUUAACAGUGCACUCCCACACCAUUCAACUACGCAAGGGAGAUACACUUAACAUAUGCAGUCGUAUAACACCUACUAACAUUUUCAAACAUUAAACCUUUAAAAAAGAGUUCUAAAGAAAUAGAAGCUUGAAGUAUCAUCUCUCAAGUAUAUAGACACUACUUCAUGGUGUGGUAAUAUAUGCAUAUAGAAGCUAGUAAACACCUCCAGGAGAUGCAAAAGGAAUUAGAACUGCCACAAGGUGCAAGCAAAACCUUGAGCUUCUUUAAAAUAUGAAGACUUCGAAGUUAUUUAUCCAAACCAACCUGAUCAUUUCUUAAGAGUGAAUAUACCUUGGAAGACGUGUCCUGCCUUUAGUAGCGUCACAAUGGAUUACAUCCUCUAUAAAGCAGUCUGGGGUGAGAAAAUCGAAUUUGGACACCGUUGAGGAGACUAUUGCAGUCAUCCAAGCUCAAGAUGGUGGAGCUUCAUCCUUGAGAAUAACCAAUGGGGAUAGAUUUAAGAGACACUUAGAGUCUGCAGCCAACAGGGCUGAAUGAGCAGAGAGUUAUGAUUCAGAAGAUCAUCUAAAAUUGAACAGCUGCCACUACUGGCAAUAAGUCUACUGCCAUUUGGUAGAUAACCUUCUUAUCACACAGAAAAAUAUCAGUACAGACAAAUAGACCGCAAAGAAAAUGAGACCAUCAGCAAAGAAGAUAAAGAAGUUUGUACAAAGCAACUUUUUAUAAAUGGAUGGCUGUCAGGCAAAAAUAAAUUUCCUGUGGACAAGACCAAGAGCAAGGCAAGAGGAAAAUAAACAUGUUUAAAC